Non-coding RNA from Schistosoma curassoni, 46 nucleotides. The record is from Rfam. NCBI's taxonomy places the organism in Eukaryota, Metazoa, Platyhelminthes, Trematoda, Strigeidida, Schistosomatidae.
GCACUGCUGAGGAAUCCCAUCCUAGGACGAGACGGCCGUCCAGUGC